GCUUCGUGGUCGAGCGGUUAUGACACUUGCUUCUAACUCUGGAGUCUCGGGUUCAAACCCCGGUCGAGGAGCU
Non-coding RNA from Rhamnusium bicolor, 73 nucleotides. NCBI's taxonomy places the organism in Eukaryota, Metazoa, Arthropoda, Insecta, Coleoptera, Cerambycidae. The record is from the annotation of a GenBank genome assembly.